This 93-nucleotide non-coding RNA is filed under the name human gut metagenome. Its description in RNAcentral is "SAM riboswitch (S box leader)". It matches the Rfam family "SAM riboswitch aptamer (S box leader)". From Rfam's summary of the family: The SAM riboswitch is found upstream of a number of genes which code for proteins involved in methionine or cysteine biosynthesis in Gram-positive bacteria. The SAM riboswitch acts at the level of transcription termination control. The predicted structure consists of a complex stem-loop region followed by a single stem loop terminator region. The record is from RNAcentral.
CUUAUCAAGAGUGGCGGAGGGACCGGCCCUGUGAAGCCCGGCAACCUGCAUUUGCAAGGUGCCAAAUCCGGCGGUGUAAAUCGGAAGAUGAGG